Molecule: long non-coding RNA, 870 nt
Filed under: Prunus dulcis (almond)
Lineage: Eukaryota; Viridiplantae; Streptophyta; Magnoliopsida; Rosales; Rosaceae
Source: RNAcentral
AUCAUGGCUCCCCCAUUUAAGAUGCUUGAGCUCCUAGUCAAGCUAAAUUGUGAGAUAAGGAAACUCUAUUAUUGCCUUGUCUUGAAUAUACCACUUCGACUUGCUAGGAAAUUGACCUUUUCUUCCAAUACAGAAAUACUCAUACUUUCCAUGUCGAUUGUAACAUCCCACAUUAACCAACGGAGAGGGGGAGAUGUGCCUUAUAUGUACAUGCCCGCCUUCAUCUAGCACGAGGCCUUUUGGGAGCUCACUGGCUUCGGAGUCAUAGGAACUCCGAAGUUAAGCGAGUUGGAGCUAGAGCAAUCCCAGGAUGGGUGACCCACUAGGAAGUUGCUCGUGAGCUCCCAGAAACAAAACCGUGAGGGCAGAGAGGGGGGCUCAAAACUAACAAUAUUGUGCUACGGGGGAGCCGAUCCCGGGAUGUGACAAUUUGGUAUCAGAGCCACUCUGCCUUGUGGUGCGAGUGUGCCGACGAGGACGUCGGGCCCUUAAGGGGGGUGGAUUGUAACAUCCCACAUCAACCAACGGAGAGGGAGUGAUGUGCCUUAGAGCAACUCCACCCAUUUGCCCUUAGCCAUGGCAAGGAGGGAGCUAGGGCAGCCACUAUUCAAGUGAAUAGUGGUUGCCCUUGCAAAUAGUAUUUUGUGUUUCCACCCAUUGCCAUGGCUAAGGGCAAUUACUAUUCAUUUUUUUGUUUUUUUUCACACAUUUUUAAUGAAAAUAAUUAAUUUGGAUAAUAUUUUCAGAUAAGAUUUCCAGGUUCCUACGUGUCAAGACUAUUCAUAAUCGGAUAAAAUUUCCGGAUAAGAUUUUUGGAUUCAAAUUUUGGAUGAAUUUCAAAAUUCAAAUUUCAGAUAAAUUUUUGGGUUC